This 75-nucleotide transfer RNA is filed under the name Hoplosternum littorale (atipa). Its description in RNAcentral is "tRNA-Leu". It matches the Rfam family "tRNA". Rfam says of the family: Transfer RNA (tRNA) molecules are approximately 80 nucleotides in length. Their secondary structure includes four short double-helical elements and three loops (D, anti-codon, and T loops). Further hydrogen bonds mediate the characteristic L-shaped molecular structure. tRNAs have two regions of fundamental functional importance: the anti-codon, which is responsible for specific mRNA codon recognition, and the 3' end, to which the tRNAs corresponding amino acid is attached (by aminoacyl-tRNA synthetases). tRNAs cope with the degeneracy of the genetic code in two manners: having more than one tRNA (with a specific anti-codon) for a particular amino acid; and 'wobble' base-pairing, i.e. permitting non-standard base-pairing at the 3rd anti-codon position. The record is from RNAcentral. Lineage: Eukaryota; Metazoa; Chordata; Actinopteri; Siluriformes; Callichthyidae.
ACUAAGGUGGCAGAGCCCGGUAAUUGCAAAAGGCCUAAGCCCUUUCCACCGAAGGUUCAAUUCCUUCCCUUAGUU